Molecule: ribosomal RNA, 432 nt
Filed under: uncultured bacterium
Lineage: Bacteria
Description: bacterial SSU rRNA
Rfam family: Bacterial small subunit ribosomal RNA
Source: RNAcentral
UCGGGGGAAACCCUGAUGCAGCCAUGCCGCGUGUGUGAAGAAGGCCGUUCGGGUUGUAAAGCACUUUCAGGUAGGGAGGAAGGUAGUGUAGUUAACACCUGCACUAUUUGACGUUACCUACAGAAGAAGCACCGGCUAACUCCGUGCCAGCAGCCGCGGUAAUACGGAGGGUGCGAGCGUUAAUCGGAAUUACUGGGCGUAAAGCGCAUGCAGGCGGCCUGUUAAGUCAGAUGUGAAAGCCCCGGGGCUUAACCUCGGAAUUGCAUUUGAAACUGGCAGGCUAGAGUCUUGUAGAGGGGGUAGAAUUUCAGGUGUAGCGGUGAAAUGCGUAGAGAUCUGAAGGAAUACCAGUGGCGAAGGCGGCCCCCUGGACAAAGACUGACGCUCAGAUGCGAAAGCGUGGGGAGCAAACAGGAUUAGAUACCCUGGUAG